This 237-nucleotide ribosomal RNA is filed under the name uncultured bacterium. RNAcentral's name for it is "partial 16S ribosomal RNA". It matches the Rfam family "Bacterial small subunit ribosomal RNA", at positions 15 to 244 of the family's 1533-position model. The record is from RNAcentral.
GAUCAUGGCUCAGGAUGAACGCUGGCGGCGUGCCCAACACAUGCAAGUCGAACGGACUUACAUUGAAGCCUAGCGAUAUGUAAGUUAGUGGCGGACGGGUGAGUAACGCGUGGGUAACCUGCCUUGUACUGGGGGACGAACAGUUGGAAACGACUGCUAAUACCGCAUAAGCGCACAGCUUCGCAUGAAGCAGUGUGAAAAACUCCGGUGGUACAAGAUGGACCCGCGUCUGAUUAG